RNAcentral lists this ribosomal RNA (484 nucleotides) under uncultured bacterium. Its description in RNAcentral is "partial 16S ribosomal RNA". It matches the Rfam family "Bacterial small subunit ribosomal RNA", at positions 30 to 507 of the family's 1533-position model. The record is from RNAcentral.
AUUGAACGCUGGCGGCAGGCCUAACACAUGCAAGUCGAGCGGAUGAAGGGAGCUUGCUCCUGGAUUCAGCGGCGGACGGGUGUGUAAUGCCUAGGAAUCUGCCUGGUAUUGGGGGAUAACGUCCGGAAACGGGCGCUAAUACCGCAUACGUCCUGUGGGAGAAAGUGGGGGAUCUUCGGACCUCACGCUAUCAUAUGAGCCUAGGUCGGAUUAGCUAGUUGGUGGGGUAAAGGCCUACCAAGGCGACGAUCCGUAACUGGUCUGAGAGGAUGAUCAGUGAGACUGGAACUGAGACACGGUACAGACGCCUACGGGAGGAAGCAGUGGGGAAUAGUGGACAAUGGGCGAAAGCAUGAUACAGCCAGGCCGCGUGUGUGAAGAAGGUCUUCGGAUUGUAAAGCACGUUAAGUUGGGAGGAAGGGCAGUAAGUUAAUACCUUGCUGUUUUGACGUUAACAACAGAAUAAGCACCGGCUAACUUCGUG